This 460-nucleotide ribosomal RNA is filed under the name uncultured bacterium. Its description in RNAcentral is "partial 16S ribosomal RNA". It matches the Rfam family "Bacterial small subunit ribosomal RNA", at positions 338 to 795 of the family's 1533-position model. The record is from RNAcentral.
CCUACGGGGCGCUGCAGUGAGGAAUAUUGGUCAAUGGACGAGAGUCUGAACCAGCCAAGUAGCGUGAAGGAUGACUGCCCUAUGGGUUGUAAACUUCUUUUAUAUGGGAAUAAAACGUUCCACGUGUGGGAUUUUGUAUGUACCCUAUGAAUAAGGAUCGGCUAACUCCGUGCCAGCAGCCGCGGUAAUACGGAGGAUCCGAGCGUUAUCCGGAUUUAUUGGGUUUAAAGGGAGCGUAGGUGGAUUGUUAAGUCAGUUGUGAAAGUUUGCGGCUCAACCGUAAAAUUGCAGUUGAAACUGGCAGUCUUGAGUACAGUAGAGGUGGGCGGAAUUCGUGGUGUAGCGGUGAAAUGCUUAGAUAUCACGAAGAACUCCGAUUGCGAAGGCAGUUCACUGGACUGCAACUGACACUGAGGCUCGAAAGUGUGGGUAUCAAACAGGAUUAGAUACCCUGGUAGUC